Molecule: ribosomal RNA, 492 nt
Filed under: uncultured bacterium
Lineage: Bacteria
Description: partial 16S ribosomal RNA
Rfam family: Bacterial small subunit ribosomal RNA
Source: RNAcentral
GAUGAACGCUAGCUACAGGCUUAACACAUGCAAGUCGAGGGGAAACGACAUCGAAAGCUUGCUUUUGAUGGGCGUCGACCGGCGCACGGGUGAGUAACGCGUAUCCAACCUGCCCAUCACUUGGGAAUAACCUUGCGAAAGUAAGACUACUACCCAAUGAUAUCCCACGAAGGCAUCGGAAUGUGAUUAAAGAUUUAUCGGUGAUGGAUGGGGAUGCGUCUGAUUAGCUUGUUGGCGGGGUAACGGCCCACCAAGGCAACGAUCAGUAGGGGUUCUGAGAGGAAGGUACACCACAUUGGAACUGAGACACGGACCAAAAUGCGAGGGGAGGGAGCAGAGAAGUAGAUUAGGGAAUGGAGGAGAGCCUGACCCAGCCAAGUAGCGUGCAAGAAGACGGCGCUAGGAGAUGUAAACUGCUUUGAUAAAAGAAUAAAGUGGGUCACGUGUGACGUUUUGAAGGUACCUAAUGAAUAAGGACCGGCUAAUUCCGUG